GACCCCGCACAAGCGGUGGAUCAUGUUGUUUAAUUCGACGAUACGCGAAGAACCUUACCAGGUCUUGACAUCCCCUGCAAGAGCUUAGAGAUAAGCUUGAGGUUAUCAGGGUGACAGGUGGUGCAUGGUUGUCGUCAGCUCGUGUCGUGAGAUGUUGGGUUAAGUCCCGUAACGAGCGCAACCCUUGUCGUUAGUUGCCAGCAUUAAGUUGGGGACUCUAACGAGACUGCCAGUGAUAAACUGGAGGAAGGUGGGGAUGACGUCAAAUCAUCAUGCCCCUUAUGACCUGGGCUACAAACGUGAUACAAUGGCUGGAACAAAGGGAAGCGAAAGGGUGACCUGGAGCAAAACUCAUAAAGACAGUCUCAGUUCGGAUUGAAGUCUGCAACUCGACUUCAUGAAGCCGGAAUCGCUAGUAAUCGUGGAUCAGAACGCCACGGUGAAUACGUUCUCGGGGUUU
Molecule: ribosomal RNA, 460 nt
Filed under: uncultured bacterium
Lineage: Bacteria
Description: bacterial SSU rRNA
Rfam family: Bacterial small subunit ribosomal RNA
Source: RNAcentral